RNAcentral lists this ribosomal RNA (2906 nucleotides) under Escherichia coli. RNAcentral's name for it is "bacterial LSU rRNA". It matches the Rfam family "Bacterial large subunit ribosomal RNA". The record is from RNAcentral. Lineage: Bacteria; Pseudomonadati; Pseudomonadota; Gammaproteobacteria; Enterobacterales; Enterobacteriaceae.
UUAAGCGACUAAGCGUACACGGUGGAUGCCCUGGCAGUCAGAGGCGAUGAAGGACGUGCUAAUCUGCGAUAAGCGUCGGUAAGGUGAUAUGAACCGUUAUAACCGGCGAUUUCCGAAUGGGGAAACCCAGUGUGAUUCGUCACACUAUCAUUAACUGAAUCCAUAGGUUAAUGAGGCGAACCGGGGGAACUGAAACAUCUAAGUACCCCGAGGAAAAGAAAUCAACCGAGAUUCCCCCAGUAGCGGCGAGCGAACGGGGAGCAGCCCAGAGCCUGAAUCAGUGUGUGUGUUAGUGGAAGCGUCUGGAAAGGCGCGCGAUACAGGGUGACAGCCCCGUACACAAAAAUGCACAUGCUGUGAGCUCGAUGAGUAGGGCGGGACACGUGGUAUCCUGUCUGAAUAUGGGGGGACCAUCCUCCAAGGCUAAAUACUCCUGACUGACCGAUAGUGAACCAGUACCGUGAGGGAAAGGCGAAAAGAACCCCGGCGAGGGGAGUGAAAAAGAACCUGAAACCGUGUACGUACAAGCAGUGGGAGCACAGAGCAAUCUGUGUGACUGCGUACCUUUUGUAUAAUGGGUCAGCGACUUAUAUUCUGUAGCAAGGUUAACCGAAUAGGGGAGCCGAAGGGAAACCGAGUCUUAACUGGGCGUUAAGUUGCAGGGUAUAGACCCGAAACCCGGUGAUCUAGCCAUGGGCAGGUUGAAGGUUGGGUAACACUAACUGGAGGACCGAACCGACUAAUGUUGAAAAAUUAGCGGAUGACUUGUGGCUGGGGGUGAAAGGCCAAUCAAACCGGGAGAUAGCUGGUUCUCCCCGAAAGCUAUUUAGGUAGCGCCUCGUGAAUUCAUCUCCGGGGGUAGAGCACUGUUUCGGCAAGGGGGUCAUCCCGACUUACCAACCCGAUGCAAACUGCGAAUACCGGAGAAUGUUAUCACGGGAGACACACGGCGGGUGCUAACGUCCGUCGUGAAGAGGGAAACAACCCAGACCGCCAGCUAAGGUCCCAAAGUCAUGGUUAAGUGGGAAACGAUGUGGGAAGGCCCAGACAGCCAGGAUGUUGGCUUAGAAGCAGCCAUCAUUUAAAGAAAGCGUAAUAGCUCACUGGUCGAGUCGGCCUGCGCGGAAGAUGUAACGGGGCUAAACCAUGCACCGAAGCUGCGGCAGCGACGCUGAUGCGUUGUUGGGUAGGGGAGCGUUCUGUAAGCCUGCGAAGGUGUGCUGUGAGGCAUGCUGGAGGUAUCAGAAGUGCGAAUGCUGACAUAAGUAACGAUAAAGCGGGUGAAAAGCCCGCUCGCCGGAAGACCAAGGGUUCCUGUCCAACGUUAAUCGGGGCAGGGUGAGUCGACCCCUAAGGCGAGGCCGAAAGGCGUAGUCGAUGGGAAACAGGUUAAUAUUCCUGUACUUGGUGUUACUGCGAAGGGGGGACGGAGAAGGCUAUGUUGGCCGGGCGACGGUUGUCCCGGUUUAAGCGUGUAGGCUGGUUUUCCAGGCAAAUCCGGAAAAUCAAGGCUGAGGCGUGAUGACGAGGCACUACGGUGCUGAAGCAACAAAUGCCCUGCUUCCAGGAAAAGCCUCUAAGCAUCAGGUAACAUCAAAUCGUACCCCAAACCGACACAGGUGGUCAGGUAGAGAAUACCAAGGCGCUUGAGAGAACUCGGGUGAAGGAACUAGGCAAAAUGGUGCCGUAACUUCGGGAGAAGGCACGCUGAUAUGUAGGUGAAGUCCCUCGCGGAUGGAGCUGAAAUCAGUCGAAGAUACCAGCUGGCUGCAACUGUUUAUUAAAAACACAGCACUGUGCAAACACGAAAGUGGACGUAUACGGUGUGACGCCUGCCCGGUGCCGGAAGGUUAAUUGAUGGGGUCAGCGCAAGCGAAGCUCUUGAUCGAAGCCCCGGUAAACGGCGGCCGUAACUAUAACGGUCCUAAGGUAGCGAAAUUCCUUGUCGGGUAAGUUCCGACCUGCACGAAUGGCGUAAUGAUGGCCAGGCUGUCUCCACCCGAGACUCAGUGAAAUUGAACUCGCUGUGAAGAUGCAGUGUACCCGCGGCAAGACGGAAAGACCCCGUGAACCUUUACUAUAGCUUGACACUGAACAUUGAGCCUUGAUGUGUAGGAUAGGUGGGAGGCUUUGAAGUGUGGACGCCAGUCUGCAUGGAGCCGGCCUUGAAAUACCACCCUUUAAUGUUUGAUGUUCUAACGUUGACCCGUAAUCCGGGUUGCGGACAGUGUCUGGUGGGUAGUUUGACUGGGGCGGUCUCCUCCUAAAGAGUAACGGAGGAGCACGAAGGUUGGCUAAUCCUGGUCGGACAUCAGGAGGUUAGUGCAAUGGCAUAAGCCAGCUUGACUGCGAGCGUGACGGCGCGAGCAGGUGCGAAAGCAGGUCAUAGUGAUCCGGUGGUUCUGAAUGGAAGGGCCAUCGCUCAACGGAUAAAAGGUACUCCGGGGAUAACAGGCUGAUACCGCCCAAGAGUUCAUAUCGACGGCGGUGUUUGGCACCUCGAUGUCGGCUCAUCACAUCCUGGGGCUGAAGUAGGUCCCAAGGGUAUGGCUGUUCGCCAUUUAAAGUGGUACGCGAGCUGGGUUUAGAACGUCGUGAGACAGUUCGGUCCCUAUCUGCCGUGGGCGCUGGAGAAUUGAGGGGGGCUGCUCCUAGUACGAGAGGACCGGAGUGGACGCAUCACUGGGUGUUCGGGUUGUCAUGCCAAUGGCACUGCCCGGUAGCUAAAUGCGGAAGAGAUAAGUGCUGAAAAGCAUCUAAGCACGAAACUUGCCCCGAGAUGAGUUCUCCCUGACUCCUUGAGAGUCCUGAAGGAACGUUGAAGACGACGACGUUGAUAGGCCGGGUGUGUAAGCGCAGCGAUGCGUUGAGCUAACCGGUACUAAUGAACCGUGAGGCUUAACCUU